GACGAACGCUGGCGGCGUGCUUAACACAUGCAAGUCGAACGAUGAACUACGGGUUUACCUGUGGGGAUUAGUGGCGAACGGGUGAGUAACACGUGAGUAACCUGCCCUUAACUCUGGGAUAAGCAUUGGAAACGGUGUCUAAUACUGGAUAGGACUUGCCUCGGCAUCGGGGUGAGUGGAAAGUUUUUCGGUUAGGGAUGGACUCGCGGCCUAUCAGCUUGUUGGUGAGGUAGUGGCUUACCAAGGCGAUGACGGGUAGCCGGCCUGAGAGGGUGAUCGGCCACACUGGGACUGAGACACGGCCCAGACUCCUACGGGUGGCAG
Molecule: ribosomal RNA, 324 nt
Filed under: uncultured Actinomycetes bacterium
Lineage: Bacteria; Bacillati; Actinomycetota; Actinomycetes
Description: bacterial SSU rRNA
Rfam family: Bacterial small subunit ribosomal RNA
Source: RNAcentral